UGGGGAAUUUUGGACAAUGGGCGAAAGCCUGAUCCAGCAAUGCCGCGUGUGUGAAGAAGGCCUUCGGGUUGUAAAGCACUUUUGUCCGGAAAGAAAUCCUUGGCUCUAAUACAGUCGGGGGAUGACGGUACCGGAAGAAUAAGCACCGGCUAACUACGUGCCAGCAGCCGCGGUAAUACGUAGGGUGCAAGCGUUAAUCGGAAUUACUGGGCGUAAAGCGUGCGCAGGCGGUUUGCUAAGACCGAUGUGAAAUCCCCGGGCUCAACCUGGGAACUGCAUUGGUGACUGGCAGGCUAGAGUAUGGCAGAGGGGGGUAGAAUUCCACGUGUAGCAGUGAAAUGCGUAGAGAUGUGGAGGAAUACCGAUGGCGAAGGCAGCCCCCUGGGCCAAUACUGACGCUCAUGCACGAAAGCGUGGGGAGCAAACAGGAUUAGAUACCCUGGUAGUCCACGCCCUAAACGAUGUCAACUAGUUGUUGGGGAUUCAUUUCCUAGUACGUAGCUAACGCGUGAAGUUGACCGCCGGGGGAGUACGGUCGCAAGAUUAAAACU
This 551-nucleotide ribosomal RNA is filed under the name uncultured bacterium. Its description in RNAcentral is "partial 16S ribosomal RNA". It matches the Rfam family "Bacterial small subunit ribosomal RNA", at positions 355 to 901 of the family's 1533-position model. The record is from RNAcentral.